RNAcentral lists this ribosomal RNA (468 nucleotides) under uncultured bacterium. Its description in RNAcentral is "partial 16S ribosomal RNA". It matches the Rfam family "Bacterial small subunit ribosomal RNA", at positions 28 to 507 of the family's 1533-position model. The record is from RNAcentral.
GACGAACGCUGGCGGCGUGCUUAACACAUGCAAGUCGAACGGAAAGGCCCUGCGUUUGUGGGGUGCUCGAGUGGCGAACGGGUGAGUAACACGUGAGUAACCUGCCCUUGACUUUGGGAUAACUUCAGGAAACUGGGGCUAAUACCGGAUAGGAGCUCCUGCUGCAUGGUGGGGGUUGGAAAGUUUCGGCGGUUGGGGCUGGACUCGCGGCUUAUCAGCUUGUUGGUGGGGUAGUGGCUUACCAAGGCUUUGACGGGUAGCCGGCCUGAGAGGGUGACCGGCCACAUUGCGACUGAGAUACGGCCCAGACUCCUACCGGAGGCAGCAGUCGGGAAUAUUGCACAAUGGGCGGAAGCCUGAUGCAGCAACGCCGCGUGCGGGAUGACGGCCUUCUGGUUGUAAACCGCUUUCGCCUGUGACGAAGCGUGAGUGACGGUAAUGGGUAAAGAAGCACCGGCUAACUACGUG